Molecule: ribosomal RNA, 20 nt
Filed under: uncultured Glomus
Lineage: Eukaryota; Fungi; Glomeromycota; Glomeromycetes; Glomerales; Glomeraceae
Description: partial 28S ribosomal RNA
Source: RNAcentral
AACUGACCUCAGACAGGUAG